UGGGACAAUUGUUCUAAUUGGUGUAGGAAAUGGGCUUAGUAGGGACAUCAACUUGAUUCCCUUAUUAUGUGGUAGAACAUUGAAAGGUUUAAGCUUUGGUGGAAUAAGACUUCACUCAGAUCUUCCUACUCUACUUCAUAAAUGUGCAAAUAAGGAGAUUCAACUAGAUGGGCUUAUAACUCAUCAAGUUUCAUUGAUGGAAAUUAACCAAUCAUUUGAGUUAUUGAAAGACCCCCACUGCGUCAAAGUUAUUAUAAAGUUCUAAAAAAUAAACGAAUUAUGAGUAAAAAUUAUUUACUCAAUUCUAUAUGUGGUUUAAUUUAAUGUAUAUGUGUGCUAAGCAAAUAAACAUAGUGUGAUAAAAUUUGUCCCUAAGUUUUCAAGGCUUAUAAAUAGCCAUUUUCUUUGUAAUAUGGAAGAUAUCAAGAAGGGUGAAAAGGGAAUUACAAUAGGAGUACACUUUCUUCUAUUUAUCUCUCUA
Long non-coding RNA from Solanum tuberosum (potato), 481 nucleotides. RefSeq lists it as uncharacterized. The transcript is spliced from 2 exons. NCBI's taxonomy places the organism in Eukaryota, Viridiplantae, Streptophyta, Magnoliopsida, Solanales, Solanaceae. The record is from RefSeq and is a predicted model, not a curated record.